This is a long non-coding RNA of Musa acuminata AAA Group (dessert banana), 887 nucleotides long. RefSeq lists it as uncharacterized. The transcript is spliced from 3 exons. The record is from RefSeq and is a predicted model, not a curated record. Lineage: Eukaryota; Viridiplantae; Streptophyta; Magnoliopsida; Zingiberales; Musaceae.
GGUGUCAUUAUUCUGUCUCUCUGUUAAUCCAUAUACAAUUCAGAAAGAUCAUCCAAUUAUUUUGUCCCUCUUAAUCCAUCACUUUGUAGGUCUUUGUAGGCUUUGGUUUCUUCCAGGACAUCUUCAUUAUCAAGUUGAAACACCUAAAAAGCCAUGUUUCUUGUUUGCCGCCUUGUCAACUCUUCUUUUAAUGAGUGCAGCUUCUGCAUCAUAUUCUUUUUUCUUUGAAGCAAAGUGUGCACACCAAUUGGUUAGAGUACUAAUUGAAUCUUUACAAUCCUUUUGCCUUUCUUUGUCUCUGCAUGUGCUGGAUAAAUCUGCUGCUGCUGCUUCCUUGUGUGUCACAGGCAAAAGCCUAGGGAGGAUUAACAUGUUAUCUUCAUCAUCAAAGUGACCAAUCCAAUCCUUUCUUUCUGGUGAUUAUUAGAACUCGGCAAACUUGAAACUGGGACGGAGCUAUGCUUUCAGAAGAAUCCUAGGGGUUGCCAUUCUUUUGAGCCUUCAGUAAUGCAGCUUGUGAGUUCAUAGGCAGUGAGAUCAAGCAGCCUGGGCACCGUCAACUAUUCCUUCUUUGGUAGUUAAGCUACAACAAGGCAAAGACCACAUUAGCACCAGAUUACAGGACAAAAGUCUUCUCAGGAAGCUUCAGUUUAAGAUCAGCUGUGAUCUUAAGCUCAAGACUUGUGUUCUGCUUCAUUCUGAAAGUGCUUGGACAAAGACAGCUGCUUGUGGUGGCAAAAGGAUUCAAAGGUGGUGCCGAAGUUACGAUGGCUAUCAUCUUAGUUUCCCCUGCCUUAUUGAGCUAAUCCUUCAACCAACCGGAGCACAUCGAAAAGGAGAGCCUUACUAGUUGCAGAAUAGUAGCAGCAGCAGCAGCUGAUCACCAU